This 300-nucleotide ribosomal RNA is filed under the name uncultured Sporohalobacter sp. RNAcentral describes it as "bacterial SSU rRNA". The stretch from base 52 to 300 matches the Rfam family "Bacterial small subunit ribosomal RNA", at positions 547 to 795 of the family's 1533-position model. The record is from RNAcentral. Lineage: Bacteria; Bacillati; Bacillota; Clostridia; Halanaerobiales; Halobacteroidaceae.
CGAGCAGGCGUGCAGGGGGCGUGGGGAAUGCGUGGGGGACAGGGGGUGGUCGGAAUUGUGUGGCGUCAAGCGGGGGUGGGGGGCGCGGUAAGGCAGGUGUGAAAGUCCAGGGCUCAACACUGGAGAGCCGGUUGAUGCUGGCGAGCUCGAGUCCGGAAGAGGUGAGUGGAAUUCCUGGUGGAGCGGUGAAAUGCGCAGAUAUCAGGAGGAACACCAAUGGCGAAGGCAGCUCACUGGGACGGUACUGACGCUGAGACGCGAAAGCGUGGGGAGCAAACAGGAUUAGAUACCCCAGUAGUC